This 253-nucleotide ribosomal RNA is filed under the name uncultured bacterium. Its description in RNAcentral is "partial 16S ribosomal RNA". It matches the Rfam family "Bacterial small subunit ribosomal RNA", at positions 524 to 776 of the family's 1533-position model. The record is from RNAcentral.
UACGUAGGGGGCAAGCGUUGUCCGGAUUUAUUGGGCGUAAAGAGCGUGUAGGCGGCUAGAUAGGUCCGUUGUGAAAACUCGAGGCUCAACCUCGAGACGCCGGUGGAAACCACCUAGCUAGAGUCCGGAAGAGGAGAGUGGAAUUCCUGGUGUAGCGGUGAAAUGCGCAGAUAUCAGGAAGAACACCUAUUGCGAAGGCAGCUCGCUGGGACGUAACUGACGCUGAGACGCGAAAGCGUGGGGAGCAAACAGG